GAUGAACGCUGGCGGCGUGCCUAAUACAUGCAAGUCGAGCGAACGGACGAGAAGCUUGCUUCUCUGAUGUUAGCGGCGGACGGGUGAGUAACACGUGGAUAACCUACCUAUAAGACUGGGAUAACUUCGGGAAACCGUAGCUAAUACCGGAUAAUAUUUUGAACCGCAUGGUUCAAAAGUGAAAGACGGUCUUGCUGUCACUUAUAGAUGGAUCCGCGCUGCAUUAGCUAGUUGGUAAGGUAACGGCUUACCAAGGCAACGAGGCAUAGCCGACCUGAGAGGGGGAUCGGCCACCCUGGAACGGAGACGCGGACCAGACUCCUACGGGAGGCAGCAGUAGGGAAUCGGCCGCAAUGGGCGAAAGCCUGACGGAGCAACGCCGCGUGAGUUAUGAAGGUCUUCGGAGCGUAAAACUCUGUUAUUAGGGAAGAACAUAUUUGUAAGGAACUGUGCACAUCUUGACGGUACCUAAUCAGAAAGCCACGGCUAACUACGUG
RNAcentral lists this ribosomal RNA (497 nucleotides) under uncultured bacterium. RNAcentral describes it as "partial 16S ribosomal RNA". It matches the Rfam family "Bacterial small subunit ribosomal RNA", at positions 28 to 507 of the family's 1533-position model. The record is from RNAcentral.